UGAGGAAUAUUGGUCAAUGGGCGUAAGCCUGAACCAGCCAUCCCGCGUGAAGGAAGAAGGCGCUAUGCGUCGUAAACUUCUUUUCCGGAGGAAUAAAAUUUCGUACGCGUACGGAACUGAAGGUACUCCGGGAAUAAGCAUCGGCUAACUCCGUGCCAGCAGCCGCGGUAAUACGGAGGAUGCGAGCGUUAUCCGGAUUUAUUGGGUUUAAAGGGUGCGUAGGCGGAUUGAUAAGUCAGUGGUGAAAUCCUGCAGCUUAACUGUAGCAUUGCCGUUGAUACUGUCAGUCUUGAGUAUGGUUAAGGUAGGCGGAAUGUGCAAUGUAGCGGUGAAAUGCUUAGAUAUUACACAGAACACCGAUUGCGAAGGCAGCUUACUGAACCAUAACUGACGCUGAGGCACGAAAGCGUGGGGAGCGAACA
Molecule: ribosomal RNA, 422 nt
Filed under: uncultured prokaryote
Description: bacterial SSU rRNA
Rfam family: Bacterial small subunit ribosomal RNA
Source: RNAcentral